UGCCAUGUCUUUCUUCAGUGUUAUGGC
This 27-nucleotide non-coding RNA is filed under the name Homo sapiens (human). The record is from RNAcentral. Lineage: Eukaryota; Metazoa; Chordata; Mammalia; Primates; Hominidae.